GACGAACGCUGGCGGCGCGCCUAACACAUGCAAGUCGAACGGGAAAAUAACUUAGUGGCGAACGGGUGAGUAACGCGUGAGUAACCUGCCCUGGAGUGGGGGACAACAGUUGGAAACGACUGCUAAUACCGCAUAAGCCCACGGUACCGCAUGGUACUGGGGGAAAAGGAUUUAUUCGCUUCAGGAUGGACUCGCGUCCAAUUAGCUAGUUGGUGAGGUAACGGCCCACCAAGGCGACGAUUGGUAGCCGGACUGAGAGGUUGAACGGCCACAUUGGGACUGAGACACGGCCCAGACUCCUACGGGAGGCAGCAGUGGGGGAUAUUGCACAAUGGGGGAAACCCUGAUGCAGCGACGCCGCGUGGAGGAAGAAGGUUUUCGGAUUGUAAACUCCUGUCGUUAGGGACGAUAAUGACGGUACCUAACAAGAAAGCACCGGCUAACUACGUGCCAGCAGCCGCGGUAAAACGUAGGGUGCAAGCGUUGUCCGGAAUUACUGGGUGUAAAGGGAGCGCAGGCGGACCGGCAAGUUGGAAGUGAAAACCAUAGGCUCAACCUAUGGAUUGCUUUCAAAACUGCUGGCCUUGAGUAGUGCAGAGGUAGGUGGAAUUCCCGGUGUAGCGGUGGAAAUGCGUAGAUAUCGGGAGGAACACCAGUGGCGAAGGCGACCUACUGGGCACCAACUGACGCUGAGGCUCGAAGGCAUGGGUAGCAAACAGGAUUAGAUACCCUGGUAGUCCAUGCCGUAAACGAUGAUUACUAGGUGUUGGAGGAUUGACCCCUUCAGUGCCGCAGUUAACACAAUAAGUAAUCCACCUGGGGAGUACGACCGCAAGGUUGAAACUCAAAGGAAUUGACGGGGGCCCGCACAAGCAGUGGAGUAUGUGGUUUAAUUCGAAGCAACGCGAAGAACCUUACCAGGUCUUGACAUCCGAUGCAUAGUGCAGAGAUGCAUGAAGUCCUUCGGGACAUCGAGACAGGUGGUGCAUGGUUGUCGUCAGCUCGUGUCGUGAGAUGUUGGGUUAAGUCCCGCAACGAGCGCAACCCUUAUUGCCAGUUACUACGCAAGAGGACUCUGGCGAGACUGCCGUUGACAAAACGGAGGAAGGUGGGGAUGACGUCAAAUCAUCAUGCCCUUUAUGACCUGGGCUACACACGUACUACAAUGGCGUUUAACAAAGAGAAGCAAGACCGCGAGGUGGAGCAAAACUCAAAAACAACGUCUCAGUUCAGAUUGCAGGCUGCAACUCGCCUGCAUGAAGUCGGAAUUGCUAGUAAUCGCGGAUCAGCAUGCCGCGGUGAAUACGUUCCCGGGCCU
RNAcentral lists this ribosomal RNA (1318 nucleotides) under uncultured bacterium. Its description in RNAcentral is "bacterial SSU rRNA". It matches the Rfam family "Bacterial small subunit ribosomal RNA", at positions 28 to 1381 of the family's 1533-position model. The record is from RNAcentral.